RNAcentral lists this ribosomal RNA (490 nucleotides) under uncultured bacterium. Its description in RNAcentral is "partial 16S ribosomal RNA". It matches the Rfam family "Bacterial small subunit ribosomal RNA", at positions 29 to 506 of the family's 1533-position model. The record is from RNAcentral.
AGUGAACGCUGGCGGUAGGCCUAACACAUGCAAGUCGAACGGCAGCACAGUAAGAGCUUGCUCUUACGGGUGGCGAGUGGCGGACGGGUGAGGAAUACAUCGGAAUCUACUUUUUCGUGGGGGAUAACGUAGGGAAACUUACGCUAAUACCGCAUACGACCUACGGGUGAAAGCAGGGGAUCUUCGGACCUUGCGCGAUUGAAUGAGCCGAUGUCGGAUUAGCUAGUUGGCGGGGUAAAGGCCCACCAAGGCGACGAUCCGUAGCUGGUCUGAGAGGAUGAUCAGCCACACUGGAACUGAGACACGGUCCAGACUCCUACGGGAGGCAGCAGUGGGGAAUAUGGGACAAUGGGCGCAAGCCUGAUCCAGCCAUACCGCGUGGGUGAGAAGGCCUUCGGGUUGUAAAGCCCUUUUGUUGGGAAAGAAAAGCAGCAGGUUAAUACCCCGCUGUUCUGACGGUACCCAAAGAAUAAGCACCGGCUAACUUCGU